UACGAAGGGGGCUAGCGUUGUUCGGAAUUACUGGGCGUAAAGCGCACGUAGGCGGGUUGUUAAGUCAGGGGUGAAAUCCUGGAGCUCAACUCCAGAACUGCCUUUGAUACUGGCAACCUAGAGACUGGAAGAGGUUAGUGGAAUUCCCAGUGUAGAGGUGAAAUUCGUAGAUAUUCGCAAGAACACCGGUGGCGAAGGCGGGUCUCUGGGCCGAUACUGACGCUGAGGAGCGAAAGCGUGGGGAGCGAACAGG
Molecule: ribosomal RNA, 253 nt
Filed under: uncultured bacterium
Lineage: Bacteria
Description: partial 16S ribosomal RNA
Rfam family: Bacterial small subunit ribosomal RNA
Source: RNAcentral